UACGUCUCGGGGGCGCGCUCUCCACCGUCGUGACGUCACGGAAGCGCCCGAGCAGCGGGGAAGCCGCCAGUGGCAGAGACUAGAGCUGGCGAGAGACGGGGAAGGAGGGAGAGACGGGAGACGGGAGACGGACACGAGACCGGAGGACAAGCCCGACCCGAAAAAGACAGAGAGACACACCAGCGCCGCGCCCUCGGCCGGCCGUCGGUUUACGCUACGAAGCGUCGCUCGGACGUUUGACAGCAGCACGUUGUGGAGCCUCAGCGGCACGUUGGCCGCAUUCGCACCUGCAGGCAGCAGCCCAGAUCAGAUAAGUGUGCUUUCGUGGAUGAGAUCCCUUCACCCCGAGCCUCUUGGAUUUACUUCAUCCAAAAGGAAGUCCCAUCGAUUCCCGCUUUCCGACAAAGCACAUUAAUUCCAGUGAGCUUUUUUCUUUUGGAAAGGCCUUAAUCAC
This is a long non-coding RNA of Gasterosteus aculeatus aculeatus (three-spined stickleback), 454 nucleotides long. The record is from Ensembl. Lineage: Eukaryota; Metazoa; Chordata; Actinopteri; Perciformes; Gasterosteidae.